GGAUUUACAAUAUUUGUCAUAUCAAAUCUAAUCUAAUCUUUGCAAGAUAUGAUUCUCUCUAUCUUCUAAGAUUAUUUACCAAAAUUAGCCUAAGUUGCCAUGUCUUCAUUAUCGGGCCAACCAGGCUUCAAUCUGACAGGCUUCUCCAACAAUUCUUUGAAUCGGGCCAGUUCUCGUGGGCUAAAUGUUCCCCAUUUAAUCGAUAGACCUCCAUGGGGC
RNAcentral lists this long non-coding RNA (219 nucleotides) under Gossypium barbadense (sea-island cotton). RNAcentral's name for it is "long non-coding RNA (GBAR_LNC023209)". The record is from RNAcentral. Lineage: Eukaryota; Viridiplantae; Streptophyta; Magnoliopsida; Malvales; Malvaceae.